UACGGGGGGGGUAAGCGUUGUUCGGAAUUACUGGGCGUAAAGGGCGCGUAGGCGGCCUUCUAAGUCGAACGUGAAAUCCCUGGGCUCAACCCAGGAACUGCGUCCGAUACUGGAAGGCUUGAAUCCGGGAGAGGGAUGCGGAAUUCCAGGUGUAGCGGUGAAAUGCGUAGAUAUCUGGAGGAACACCGGUGGCGAAGGCGGCGUCCUGGACCGGCACUGACGCUGAGGAGCGAAAGCGUGGGGAGCGAACAGG
This 253-nucleotide ribosomal RNA is filed under the name uncultured bacterium. RNAcentral describes it as "partial 16S ribosomal RNA". It matches the Rfam family "Bacterial small subunit ribosomal RNA", at positions 524 to 776 of the family's 1533-position model. The record is from RNAcentral.